Molecule: ribosomal RNA, 253 nt
Filed under: uncultured bacterium
Lineage: Bacteria
Description: partial 16S ribosomal RNA
Rfam family: Bacterial small subunit ribosomal RNA
Source: RNAcentral
UACGUAGGGGGCAAGCGUUGUCCGGAAUUAUUGGGCGUAAAGAGCGCGUAGGCGGUCCGAUAAGUCGGCUGUGAAAGUCCAGGGCUCAACCCUGGAAAGCCGGCCGAUACUGUCGGACUAGAGUCCGGAAGAGGCAAGUGGAAUUCCCGGUGUAGCGGUGAAAUGCGCAGAUAUCGGGAGGAACACCAAUGGCGAAGGCAGCUUGCUGGGACGGUACUGACGCUGAGGCGCGAAAGCUAGGGGAGCAAACGGG